RNAcentral lists this ribosomal RNA (280 nucleotides) under Stutzerimonas stutzeri. Its description in RNAcentral is "Pseudomonas stutzeri partial 16S ribosomal RNA". It matches the Rfam family "Bacterial small subunit ribosomal RNA", at positions 33 to 315 of the family's 1533-position model. Lineage: Bacteria; Pseudomonadati; Pseudomonadota; Gammaproteobacteria; Pseudomonadales; Pseudomonadaceae. The record is from RNAcentral.
ACGCUGGCGGCAGGCCUAACACAUGCAAGUCGAGCGGAUGAGCGGAGCUUGCUCCAUGAUUCAGCGGCGGACGGGUGAGUAAUGCCUAGGAAUCUGCCCGGUAGUGGGGGACAACGUUUCGAAAGGAACGCUAAUACCGCAUACGUCCUACGGGAGAAAGUGGGGGACCUUCGGACCUCACGCUAUCAGAUGAGCCUAGGUCGGAUUAGCUAGUUGGUGAGGUAAAGGCUCACCAAGGCGACGAUCCGUAACUGGUCUGAGAGGAUGAUCAGUCACACUG